GGAAGUAAAAGUCGUAACAAAGUUUCCGUAGGUGAACCUGCGGAAGGAUCAUUAUUGUAUAACCGAGGUGCGAGGGCUGUCGCUGACCCGAAAGGUCGUGCACGCCCGAGUGCCCUCACACACAUCCAUCUCACCCCUAUGUGCACCACCGCGUGGGUCCCCCUUUGGCUUGUUCGGAGGGGGGCUUACGUUUUCACACAAACUUUGUAUGCAGUGUAGAAUGUAUUUUUUGUUUUUGCGAUCACGCAAUCAAUACAACUCUCAACAACGGAUCUCUUGGCUCUC
RNAcentral lists this unclassified non-coding RNA (285 nucleotides) under plant metagenome. RNAcentral's name for it is "partial contains small subunit ribosomal RNA, internal transcribed spacer 1, and 5.8S ribosomal RNA". The stretch from base 1 to 54 matches the Rfam family "Eukaryotic small subunit ribosomal RNA", at positions 1778 to 1831 of the family's 1831-position model. The record is from RNAcentral.